AAUAAUACCUAAUUUCUAAAAACCUAGAUCUAUCCGCCGUUACACCAAAAGAAACCCCCCGACUUCUGUCUUCUUCACCUAACGCCUAAGGAAAAUGAGAGCUAACCAAAAUUCCUAAAAGCUAAGGAACAGCAGUAGCAGCUAAGAUGGACGAUUCACGCAUCCUCCUUUACUUGUUGCCACCGCUAUAACUCCCUCCACCUUAGUCUCCUACUCUCUCACGUUCUCACCAUGGAAAGCAGUCAUCAAAACACUACAAAGUCUCCAUUAAACACCCCAAAACAUCACCCAAAAAUCAGCCAUGUAAACCCCAAAAACCCAGCUGAAAACCAGCCCCUUAAACCACCAAAAACCCACACAAAAGUGCAGUAAUAAAACAGAUGAGAACAGCUUAAAAAACAACCUCAAAUCUGUCCCUGAACCAGUAACACCUCCGAAAGCCAGGCAAAACCAGCCCCAAACCCAGCUGAAAACUCACUCCAAAAUACCCCCAAAAUCCAGCUUCAUCUCCACCAAAAGGAGUUCGAAGAGGUCGAUUCCAAAGUCUAUUGUAUCGUCGAGGUUCGAGUUUGUCGCCGUCGAGAUUCGGAGCCACUGUUUCAGUUCGUGUUGUUGGAAUUCGUUCGUUGCUUCCUUCUUUUUCGAGCUUCUAUUGUUGCCUUUAAGUGUAUCGAUUUUCAAACAAUGAACUAAUUGAAAGCUCAUUUCAGGUGGCUCCAUUGCAGAUAGUGUCGAUAGCGCGUAGUGGAGGACCUUCUUCUCAAAGUCUUGGUGAGCCCCUUUCUCUUUCAAGGCGGUUGUAUUGCAUCUUUUGUUGUUGUGGACUUCUAUUUUUGAGGUAUAGCCGGGGCCUUGUCGCUGACACUGUCUUACUUGUCUUUUACAUCCUUAGAGGCUCCGUAGACACAUAUGUGAUUUAUGUACGGGUAUUUGAGGCGUCUAUGAACUAUGUUGGAAUUCUAACUCUUACUUCUCUAAUGUAUAAUUGUAUGGAAUCUUGGAACCUAUCUACGGUUUAAUGUUGUGAUUUAAA
Nicotiana attenuata is the source of this 1033-nucleotide long non-coding RNA. RefSeq lists it as uncharacterized. NCBI's taxonomy places the organism in Eukaryota, Viridiplantae, Streptophyta, Magnoliopsida, Solanales, Solanaceae. The transcript is spliced from 2 exons. The record is from RefSeq and is a predicted model, not a curated record.